AGAGAGGGCCAAGGGGUCGCGGGGGCGCCUCGUGCGUCCCUGAGGAAAGUCCGGACUCCACAGGGCAGGCCACUGGGGCGAUCCCAGCGGGGGUGACCUCGGGAAAGUGCCACAGAGAACAGACCGCCCACGUUCGGGGCGCAAGCGUCGAACAGGCAAGGGUGAAACGGUGGGGUAAGAGCCCACCAGCGGUCCGGGCGACCGGGCCGGCUCGGCAAACCCUGGUCGGAGCAAGGCCAAGUAGGAAGGUGCUCGAGGACGGCCCGUCCGAGCCUUCGGGUAGGCCGCGAAGACGAAUGACCCCUCGCGACAGGAUCCGGCUUAUCGGCCCUCUCUCGGG
RNAcentral lists this RNase P RNA (340 nucleotides) under Candidatus Bipolaricaulota bacterium. Its description in RNAcentral is "RNase P RNA component class A". It matches the Rfam family "Bacterial RNase P class A". Rfam says of the family: Ribonuclease P (RNase P) is a ubiquitous endoribonuclease, found in archaea, bacteria and eukarya as well as chloroplasts and mitochondria. Its best characterised activity is the generation of mature 5'-ends of tRNAs by cleaving the 5'-leader elements of precursor-tRNAs. Lineage: Bacteria; Candidatus Bipolaricaulota. The record is from RNAcentral.